RNAcentral lists this long non-coding RNA (2706 nucleotides) under Marmota monax (woodchuck). The record is from RNAcentral. Lineage: Eukaryota; Metazoa; Chordata; Mammalia; Rodentia; Sciuridae.
GUUCAAUCCUCAUCACCACAUAAAAAUAAAGGUCCAUGAAUAACUAAAUAUAUAUAUAUAAUUAUAAAACUGAAGCAGACAUAGGGCCCAGUCUUGAAGAACUUACUAUACUAGCAAGGAAAUGUAUCUACAAAGACAGAGAAGGCAUAGCCAGUGAGUAGGAGAAAAACGAGAAUGGUCUAGCCUACUUAAUCUAAAGAAAUAUUUCAAAUAAUGAAGUGUAGUCAGUGGUAGAAAGCUUACCUAGCACCUAUGAGGUCCUGAGAUUAAUCCCCAGCACUGGAAAAAAAAAGUAUUGGCCAGCAGGACUGGAUGCUAGUGAAAGUUCAAAUCUGAUGCCUGAAAAGGGCAACAGGAUUCACUGACUUAUAAAUCAUUAAUGGCCUGGAAUUAUGGGUAAUGGAAGCCAUUGUAUUAAGAAUGAAAAAGCAUAUAACUUUACAGAAGUCUGGCCAUGAAAUCAAAUGGAGAUAAAUAAGUAAAUAUUGAUGAAGGAUCAUUAAGUAUGAGAAAUACUAAAUUAUGUUUAAAAUCCAAAGAAAAGCUCUAAGAGGAUGAAUACAGAAGAGAAGUGAUACCCAAUAGUGUAGGUUUCUUGAAAAGGCAGGUGAAAAUGGAAGCCAGAGUAGAGGUCAGAGAAAAGGAGAAAAGGCCCUCCUGAACCAUCAGUCAUGAGUUGGCACUGCUAGCCUCCUUAACAGCUGGGUAAACUCAAAGCAGUUUUCCUAUCAGCACCUCCCUCUUUUCUGUUUGCCUUGCCAGUCCAGCUCUGGAUAAACCACACUUCCCACCCCACCCCUUUAAAUUUCUUCUUUAUUUAUUUAGCAAAUAUUUACUAAUGACUGACUAUGUGCCAGGACCUGGGGGUCAAGGACUCAAACAAAUCCUUGUCCUUAAGGAACUCAUGGUCCAGUGGUAGUGAGAGACAAACAAUCAAAGUACAGUGCACAAUGUGAAAAGGACUGUAGUAGGACAAGAAGGUGUGGGAGUGUUGCUAGAGAAAAUCCCUAAACCAGAUCAACUGGUGAAACCACAGGAAGGACCUGGAUGGUGAUGGCACACCUGUAAUUCCAGCUACUUUGCAGGCUGAGGAUCCCAAAUUUGAGGUCAGCCUCAGCAGCUCAGCAAGACCUUGACUUAGCUGGGCGUUGUGUUACAUGCCCGUAAACCCAGCACCUCAGGAGUCUGAGGCAGGAGGAUAUGAAAUUCAAAGCCAGCCUCAGCAACUUAGUGAGGCCCUAAGCAACUUAGCAAGGCCCUGUCUCAAAAUUAAAAUAAAUAAAUAAAUAUAUAAGGGCUGGGGAUGUGGUUCAGUGGUUAAGCACCCCUGGGUUCAAUUCCCAGUACUGCAAACAAACCAACCACAGGAGGGCUCUUCCUUUUUUUUUUAAUUUUCUUUUUUUUAAUAUUUAUUUUUUAGUUGGACACCCAGGGCCUCGCACAUGCUAGGCGAGCGCUCUACCGCUGAGCCAAAACCCCAGCCCAAGGGCUCUCCCUUUUGCUAAGCAAAUUUUUAAUACAUCUUGACAUCCUUUUUCACAGUGCCAUUUUUCUUUCCUUUUUUUUCCCAUUCUCUAGUUUGCUUCCUUGCUCUCCCUUCUUGUACUGGGGGAGCAGAGUAGGGACCACUUCCUUAUUAUAAUUUCAUAUUUUUUUCUUAUUUUCUGGGUGAAGGUCUCCAUAUGUUAUAUCAUUUGGUCUCAAACUCCUGAACUCAGCUAAUUCUCCUGCCUUAGCCUCCCUAGUUGCUGAGACUGCAGAAAUGCAUCACCAUGCCCAAAGUAUAAUUUCAUAUACUUACUAAAACUUAUAGGGGUCAGGAGUUGAGCUUGAAAGGGUAGCCUGCUUGCCUAAGACCCUGGGUUCCAGCCCCAGCUGAAAAAAAGGGGACUGGAAAUAUAGCUCAGUAGUAACAUUAAUUUAAAAAAUAAACUUAUAAAUAAUAGAAAAAUUAGUUCAUUCCACUUUUUCUCUAUUUUUAUUCAGACUGGGUUUGAUUUCUUUGUUUUUUUGUUUGUUUGUUUUUGCCAUGCUGGAGAUAGAACCCAGGGCCCUUUGCAUAUAUAGGCAAGUGCUUUACCACUAGGUUACAUCAUUGACCCCUGAUUUCUUUGGAAAUAAAGACAGUAUGAAGCGGGGCAUGGUGGCACAUGUCUAUAUACCUAGCAAUAGUGACUUGGUAGGCUAAGGCAGAAGUGAUCAAGGCCAACCUUAGCAACAUAGCAAGACCCUGUCUCAAAAUAAAAAGGGCUUGGGAUGCAGCUCCGUGGUAGAGCGCCCUGGGUUCAACCUCUAGUAAUGUCUCCUCCACAGCCUAAAAAAAAAGGGAUGCAGAUAACUCAGAAACUGGAUAUCAGCCUUUAUUGAGUCCCUCCAACUGUUGUGUUCCUCGCUGUGAUAGAGGAAUGAUUCUGAGGGAAGGCAGGAAAAAUUCUAGGACUGAGGACAUGGAGGGCAGGGACCUCCAUGGCAGUGAAAAAGGAUGGCUUGGGCAUUUCUGAGGCUCCCCUUCCAGAUCAGGAACUUACCCCCUUCCCCAGAAAGCAUAUACAAAGUGGUCCUAAGAUCAUAAUUUAGCUCUGAUGAUAAAAUUAAGCUCUAACAUUCUAUGGUAUCCACAGAUAUUAUCUUUAAACUACUGCAGCUUUCUGUUGGUAUAUAGAACUCUGUAUAUAUAUAUUCUGUGUGUGUGUGUGUGUGUGUGUG